This 506-nucleotide ribosomal RNA is filed under the name uncultured bacterium. RNAcentral's name for it is "partial 16S ribosomal RNA". It matches the Rfam family "Bacterial small subunit ribosomal RNA", at positions 29 to 523 of the family's 1533-position model. The record is from RNAcentral.
AGUGAACGCUGGCGGUAGGCCUAACACAUGCAAGUCGAACGGCAGCACAGGAGAGCUUGCUCUCUGGGUGGCGAGUGGCGGACGGGUGAGGAAUACAUCGGAAUCUACUUUUUCGUGGGGGAUAACGUAGGGAAACUUACGCUAAUACCGCAUACGACCUACGGGUGAAAGCAGGGGACCUUCGGGCCUUGCGCGAUUGAAUGAGCCGAUGUCGGAUUAGCUAGUUGGCGGGGUAAAGGCCCACCAAGGCGACGAUCCGUAGCGGGUCUGAGAGGAAGAUCAGCCACAGUGGAACUGAAACACGGUCCAGGCUCCUAAGGGAGGCAGCAGUGGGGAAUAUUGGACAAUAGGCGCAAGCCUGAUCCAGCCAUACCGCGUGGGUGAAGAAGGCCUUCGGGUUGUAAAGCCCUUUUGUUGGGAAAGAAAUCCAGCUGGCUAAUACCCGGUUGGGAUGACGGUACCCAAAGAAUAAGCACCGGCUAACUUCGUGCCAGCAGCCGCCGUAA